GGGCUCUGUGGCCCUGCAUCCCUCUUGGAGCCCAGCGCGGGUCACCAGGGUCUGCUGCCGUUUUCUACUGGAAGAAGGCUGGAAGAUGCCGUGACCUCCUCCAACAGCAAGAAGGGUGCUGAUGACCAGGACAGCCCUCCCGUGUCCCUAUCCUGCGACUCCAACCAACGAGAGCGGAGCUCCCAGCUGAGGGCCAGUGGCUUGGUGGCCCCACGCCGAAGUGGUGGCCACUUCAGAGCUGGUUCCCUCAGGAAAGCAAGGAUGCCCUCUGCAGUGGACAGGGGCUCUGAGGCCAGGAUGUGGUCCUCACCCAGGCCGCCACCGUCUCCCCUCCCGACUGUCACACGUCAGCUCAUUUCCACCAGCCACCACCAAGAACACAUCUCCCCAGCCCCAGGGGACCCACAGAGACUCACAGGCACUCAGGAGGCGAGGCCUGAUUCCAAGGCCCGCUCUGUGCUCACACACGGCAGAAACUAGAGACACCUGUCCUGGGGCCUGCAGCCCAGAGACCAGAGCCCCUCAUUUCCUGUGAGGGAGAGCUUAGGACCUCCUUUUUGGAGGACAGGAGGGCAGGCCAGGGGCGUGCUGGGGUGCAGCAGAGCAGCCAGGGCCCAGUGCAAGGCAGCGAAGGGCCGGCAGGGUCUUGAGACCAGGCAGCCAGGAGUUAGGGGCUCGGAACCUGGGGCUCCGUAAGGGCCAAGUGCCUGGAUUUCACCUGUAAGGUGGAACAGGAAGGCUGGAUCCUCACCACCCCUUGGCUCAGCUCUUGGCACGCCAUGUCUGCACCCAAAUCCUGUGUUUGGGGACAUUUUGGUCUAUGGAAGGGGAUGGACAAGGUAAUAAAGUGGGGGGCGGGGGAAUCACAAAAUGUCAAUCCCCCACGGAGGUGAGUGGUCAGAUGGAGGUCAGUUGCAGUCAAGAGGGAUGAUGUCCAGAUGCUUCAGGUCCAGAUGGGAAGCCCCCCUGAGCCCCAAUCUGGCUUCCUGGGAACCAGCGUGGCUGACAGCAGCUUAGGGAAGGCAGCGUGAUGGGAACACCCCCCGCUUCCCAUCACAGGACCCGGUGACCCCCAGAACGGCUGGGAACCGGACCCUCCAGGGAAAUGCCCUCUCCCCGAGGGCCCGUGGACGAGGGAGCCAGCCUGCAGCCCAGCCUUCUCCCUUCCCGGCGGCUCUGCUGUGGGGUCAGCCCAGGAGAGAGCAGAAAGUGGGGCACCGGUGGCCAGACCCCGCCUCCCCCCUCUGGAGCUGCAUGGGACGCCUCUCUUCCCAGCCCACAGCACUUCACUUUCUUCCUUAAAAAGAAAAAAAAAAGUUUUCUAAAUAAAAUAAACAACCCCCCCCC
Molecule: long non-coding RNA, 1347 nt
Organism: Panthera uncia (snow leopard)
Lineage: Eukaryota; Metazoa; Chordata; Mammalia; Carnivora; Felidae
Exons: 2
Source: RefSeq, a predicted model, not a curated record